GACGAACGCUGGCGGCGUGCUUAACACAUGCAAGUCGAACGGAAAGGCCCUGCUUUUGUGGGGUGCUCGAGUGGCGAACGGGUGAGUAACACGUGAGUAACCUGCCCUUGACGUUGGGAUAACUACAGGAAACUGGGGCUAAUACCGGAUAGGAGCUCCUGCUGCAUGGUGGGGGUUGGAAAGUUUCGGCGGUUGGGGAUGGACUCGCGGCUUAUCAGCAUGUUGGUGGGGUAGUGGCUUACCAAGGCUUUGACGGGUAGCCGGCCUGAGAGGGUGACCGGCCACAUUGGGACUGAGAUCCGGCCCAGACUCCUACGGGAGGCAGCAGUGGGGAAUAUUGCACAAUGGGCGGAAGCCUGAUGCAGCAACGCCGCGUGCGGGAUGACGGCCUUCGGGUUGUACCCCGCUUUCGCCUGUGACGAAGCGUGAGUGACGGUAAUGGGUAAAGAAGCACCGGCUAACUACGUG
This 468-nucleotide ribosomal RNA is filed under the name uncultured bacterium. RNAcentral's name for it is "partial 16S ribosomal RNA". It matches the Rfam family "Bacterial small subunit ribosomal RNA", at positions 28 to 507 of the family's 1533-position model. The record is from RNAcentral.